Molecule: non-coding RNA, 1872 nt
Organism: Paramormyrops kingsleyae
Lineage: Eukaryota; Metazoa; Chordata; Actinopteri; Osteoglossiformes; Mormyridae
Source: RefSeq, a predicted model, not a curated record
UUGUCCAUUUCCAAGAACUUUCUGGUACCAGAGGGCAACUUAUUCCAAGGUAUUCAAUUACAACAACGUUGAGGUAAGCAACCUGGGCCGUGGUGAUAGUGGGUGCACACACUAGUUCCACAAGUUCUUUCAAAGUGAUUACUUGUUGCCACACUGGGUCAAGAGGAUCAACUCUGUCACCAAUGAUGACAGGAAGGAGUCUAAGGAGACACCAGUUCUCAGCUGCUUGGCCACCUACUGUAUUUGCCUUUUCCUUAACCGGAGAAGGAGAUGAAAGAGAAUCUGAGUCUUUGUAGGAAAAUUGUUCGAUUCGUCUGUUCAGCUGAGAGUAUGUGAACCAAUGCUUGACCUUUACACAUUAUCGCAGGUAAAUGGCUAAGUCAUAAGCUACAACUCCCUCAAACAAGUCAUGCCCUAUGCAUGGAGGAAGCCCUGGCUGGCAAACAUGGCAUCAACUGUACGUACAGGGAAACUCUCACUCACAUUCUCAAGUUGAUCUCUUGGUACCUCACAAUACCUACAGAAGUACUUGGACAUGCUGAAAUUCUCAGGAGGAAUGGAGGAGGAAUGCGUCACCGUGAGACAGCCGUGAGAUGCAUUUUUGUGCUCUGCCUUGGCCCUCUGAAUAAAGCUGCGGAGUGAGAGGUUGGACCAAUCACUGACUCCUGUGCCCUUUAUCUUCAUAUAUAUUUAUGCUGACAGGUCAUCUCCUUCUGUUCAGUUGGGACUGUGGAAAUUCCUCUAGUAUAGACGGACGGUCUCUUUGAACAGCUCGGCUGUGUUGUGAGGACUGCUGGCCUGAGAAAAAAACAAGUUCUGAAAGUUUUGAGAUUACAGACUCCAUCGUCUUCAUCCAUUUGACUGACCUCACUAACUGCUCUGAAGUCUUGAGGCAAUAGCUGCUGCCUUUGACCUGUCCUGCUCCCUCGUCUCGUCCGUCGCCCAGGGGAGGCGCCUUUGGGGGGGGGGGGGGUUCUGUUACGCCCAGCUCGUCCGAUCCUCAUGUGUGCCACGCCCCCCUCAUUACCUCGUGUGGCUACCCGAUUGUCAUCAGCUGUUCCUUGUGCUUUCCUACCCGUCUGGGGUAUUUAGUCUGCAUCCCUAUCUGUAUUCCCUAGUUCUGUCAUUGACGUUGUCCGACGUACUGCCUGGUCCUGUCCCUGCCUGCCCAUCUGUAAUCAAUAAACCCUAUUUGCCUGUCAGUCCGGCUCAGCUUGCCUGCUUUCCUCCUCGCCUGCACCACGGAUCAUAACACUCAGAUUAACCUUUUUUUUUUAAAAAAAAAAAAAGUAUUUAUUUAUUAUUAUUUAUUAAAAAAAUGUUUUGUUGUAUUGUAAUGUUUUUGUCUUCUUUCUCCGACCCCAGGCCUCACUGAUGCGCCAAGUAUCCAGUUGACUACUGCCAGUUUGGAAGAAGAUAACUCUUUAUGGGCAUUGCUGUUAAGAUGACAUCAACCCUAACCCACAGCAAACAGAAACCGAACCGAACCGAGGCUCCAAAACCGUGAACCGAACCGAAUCGAACCGAGGCUCCAAAACCGUGAACCGAACCGAAUCGUGCCUUUGGUGUAUCGUUACACCCCUACUCUUAACUAACUCUGAAGUAGACCAAGAUAAUUAGCUAAUUUUCCAGAAAAUUUAUGUUUUCCCUUAACGCUUUCACUGAUGACAUUUGUUAGCAUGAAUUUAGCAUAAAAAUCUUUAAAAUAAUAAUAGUUUACUUGUGUGUAAUGCAGAGAAUUGCUCUUUUAAUUAAGGUGUUUGAUAGUACACAUCCAGAGGAAAUCUGUAAACUGUAACUUGGGACAAUUUCUGUACUUAAUUUGAAUUACAAUCUUUUACUUAAAAUUUAAAGUAAAGUUUUCUUUUUACA